This 2900-nucleotide ribosomal RNA is filed under the name Klebsiella pneumoniae. RNAcentral describes it as "23S ribosomal RNA". It matches the Rfam family "Bacterial large subunit ribosomal RNA". The record is from RNAcentral. Lineage: Bacteria; Pseudomonadati; Pseudomonadota; Gammaproteobacteria; Enterobacterales; Enterobacteriaceae.
UUAAGCGACUAAGCGUACACGGUGGAUGCCCUGGCAGUCAGAGGCGAUGAAGGACGUGCUAAUCUGCGAAAAGCGUCGGUAAGGUGAUAUGAACCGUUAUAACCGGCGAUGUCCGAAUGGGGAAACCCAGUGCAAUUCGUUGCACUAUCGUUAACUGAAUACAUAGGUUAACGAGGCGAACCGGGGGAACUGAAACAUCUAAGUACCCCGAGGAAAAGAAAUCAACCGAGAUUCCCCCAGUAGCGGCGAGCGAACGGGGAGCAGCCCAGAGUCUGAAUCAGCUUGUGUGUUAGUGGAACGGUCUGGAAAGUCCGACGGUACAGGGUGAUAGUCCCGUACACCAAAAUGCACAGGCUGUGAACUCGAAGAGUAGGGCGGGACACGUGGUAUCCUGUCUGAAUAUGGGGGGACCAUCCUCCAAGGCUAAAUACUCCUGACUGACCGAUAGUGAACCAGUACCGUGAGGGAAAGGCGAAAAGAACCCCGGCGAGGGGAGUGAAAAAGAACCUGAAACCGUGUACGUACAAGCAGUGGGAGCACCUUCGGGUGUGACUGCGUACCUUUUGUAUAAUGGGUCAGCGACUUAUAUUCUGUAGCAAGGUUAACCGUAUAGGGGAGCCGCAGGGAAACCGAGUCUUAACUGGGCGUUAAGUUGCAGGGUAUAGACCCGAAACCCGGUGAUCUAGCCAUGGGCAGGUUGAAGGUUGGGUAACACUAACUGGAGGACCGAACCGACUAAUGUUGAAAAAUUAGCGGAUGACUUGUGGCUGGGGGUGAAAGGCCAAUCAAACCGGGAGAUAGCUGGUUCUCCCCGAAAGCUAUUUAGGUAGCGCCUCGUGAACUCAUCUUCGGGGGUAGAGCACUGUUUCGGCUAGGGGGUCAUCCCGACUUACCAACCCGAUGCAAACUACGAAUACCGAAGAAUGUUAUCACGGGAGACACACGGCGGGUGCUAACGUCCGUCGUGAAGAGGGAAACAACCCAGACCGCCAGCUAAGGUCCCAAAGUCAUGGUUAAGUGGGAAACGAUGUGGGAAGGCACAGACAGCCAGGAUGUUGGCUUAGAAGCAGCCAUCAUUUAAAGAAAGCGUAAUAGCUCACUGGUCGAGUCGGCCUGCGCGGAAGAUGUAACGGGGCUAAACCAUGCACCGAAGCUGCGGCAGCGACACUAUGUGUUGUUGGGUAGGGGAGCGUUCUGUAAGCCUGCGAAGGUGACCUGUGAGGGUUGCUGGAGGUAUCAGAAGUGCGAAUGCUGACAUAAGUAACGAUAAAGCGGGUGAAAAGCCCGCUCGCCGGAAGACCAAGGGUUCCUGUCCAACGUUAAUCGGGGCAGGGUGAGUCGACCCCUAAGGCGAGGCCGAAAGGCGUAGUCGAUGGGAAACAGGUUAAUAUUCCUGUACUUGGUGUUACUGCGAAGGGGGGACGGAGAAGGCUAUGUUAGCCGGGCGACGGUUGUCCCGGUUUAAGCAUGUAGGCUGAUUGUCCAGGCAAAUCCGGAUAAUCAAGGCUGAGGUGUGAUGACGAGGCACUACGGUGCUGAAGUAACAAAUGCCCUGCUUCCAGGAAAAGCCUCUAAGCAUCAGGUAACAUCAAAUCGUACCCCAAACCGACACAGGUGGUCAGGUAGAGAAUACCAAGGCGCUUGAGAGAACUCGGGUGAAGGAACUAGGCAAAAUGGUGCCGUAACUUCGGGAGAAGGCACGCUGGUGUGUAGGUGAAGCCCCUGCGGGUGGAGCUGAGACCAGUCGAAGAUACCAGCUGGCUGCAACUGUUUAUUAAAAACACAGCACUGUGCAAACACGAAAGUGGACGUAUACGGUGUGACGCCUGCCCGGUGCCGGAAGGUUAAUUGAUGGGGUUAUCCGUAAGGAGAAGCUCUUGAUCGAAGCCCCGGUAAACGGCGGCCGUAACUAUAACGGUCCUAAGGUAGCGAAAUUCCUUGUCGGGUAAGUUCCGACCUGCACGAAUGGCGUAAUGAUGGCCAGGCUGUCUCCACCCGAGACUCAGUGAAAUUGAACUCGCUGUGAAGAUGCAGUGUACCCGCGGCAAGACGGAAAGACCCCGUGAACCUUUACUAUAGCUUGACACUGAACAUUGAGCCUUGAUGUGUAGGAUAGGUGGGAGGCUUUGAAGCGUGGACGCCAGUCUGCGUGGAGCCAACCUUGAAAUACCACCCUUUAAUGUUUGAUGUUCUAACGUUGGCCCCUUACCGGGGUUGCGGACAGUGUCUGGUGGGUAGUUUGACUGGGGCGGUCUCCUCCCAAAGCGUAACGGAGGAGCACGAAGGUUAGCUAAUCCUGGUCGGACAUCAGGAGGUUAGUGCAAUGGCAUAAGCUAGCUUGACUGCGAGCGUGACGGCGCGAGCAGGUGCGAAAGCAGGUCAUAGUGAUCCGGUGGUUCUGAAUGGAAGGGCCAUCGCUCAACGGAUAAAAGGUACUCCGGGGAUAACAGGCUGAUACCGCCCAAGAGUUCAUAUCGACGGCGGUGUUUGGCACCUCGAUGUCGGCUCAUCACAUCCUGGGGCUGAAGUAGGUCCCAAGGGUAUGGCUGUUCGCCAUUUAAAGUGGUACGCGAGCUGGGUUUAGAACGUCGUGAGACAGUUCGGUCCCUAUCUGCCGUGGGCGCUGGAGAAUUGAGGGGGGCUGCUCCUAGUACGAGAGGACCGGAGUGGACGCAUCACUGGUGUUCGGGUUGUCAUGCCAAUGGCACUGCCCGGUAGCUAAAUGCGGAAGAGAUAAGUGCUGAAAGCAUCUAAGCACGAAACUUGCCCCGAGAUGAGUUCUCCCUGAGACUUUAAGUCUCCUGAAGGAACGUUGAAGACGACGACGUUGAUAGGCCGGGUGUGUAAGCGCAGCGAUGCGUUGAGCUAACCGGUACUAAUGAACCGUGAGGCUUAACCUU